This 574-nucleotide ribosomal RNA is filed under the name Pichia kluyveri. RNAcentral describes it as "eukaryotic LSU rRNA". It matches the Rfam family "Eukaryotic large subunit ribosomal RNA", at positions 78 to 670 of the family's 3401-position model. The record is from RNAcentral. Lineage: Eukaryota; Fungi; Ascomycota; Pichiomycetes; Pichiales; Pichiaceae.
GCUCAGUAGCGGCGAGUGAAGCGGCAAGAGCUCAGAUUUGAAAUCUCACCUAGUGUGCGAGUUGUAAAUUGCAGGUUGGAGUCUCGGGUUAGACGUGUGUGCAAGUCCCUUGGAACAGGGUGCCACUGAGGGUGAGAGCCCCGUAGCGUGCAUGUCGACACCUGUGAGGCCCUUCUGACGAGUCGAGUUGUUUGGGAAUGCAGCUCUAAGUGGGUGGUAAAUUCCAUCUAAGGCUAAAUAUUGGCGAGAGACCGAUAGCGAACAAGUACUGUGAAGGAAAGAUGAAAAGCACUUUGAAAAGAGAGUGAAACAGCACGUGAAAUUGUUGAAAGGGAAGGGUAUUGGGCUCGACAUGGGAUUUACGCAUCGUUGCCUCUCGUGGGCGGCGCUCUGGGUUUUUCCUGGGCCAGCAUCGGUUUUCGUUGCAGGAUAAGGACAAUUGGAAUGUGGCUCCUCGGAGUGUUAUAGCCUUUUGUAGAUGCUGCGUAUGGGGACCGAGGGCUGCGGCGGACUCGUUUCGUCUCGGAUGCUGGCACAACGGCGCAAUACCGCCCGUCUUGAAACACGGACCAAA